AAAAAAACAUUGGUGUGUUGCCUAUGUUAACUGGCCUGACCUCUCGUAAACUUCAGGAACAUAAUCACCGUUGUUUUUGGCCAUUUGGGUGAACCUCUGUUAUUUAUUUGUGACUCAAGGUUCAGUUAAUGAUGGAACAUUA
This is a non-coding RNA of Lupinus angustifolius (narrow-leaved blue lupine), 142 nucleotides long. The record is from Rfam. Lineage: Eukaryota; Viridiplantae; Streptophyta; Magnoliopsida; Fabales; Fabaceae.